CGACCGGCGCACGGGUGAGUAACGCGUAUCCAACCUUCCCAUUACUGUGGGAUAACCUGCCGAAAGGCAGACUAAUACCGCAUAGUCUUCGAUGACGGCAUCAGAUUUGAAGUAAAGAUUUAUCGGUAAUGGAUGGGGAUGCGUCUGAUUAGCUUGUUGGCGGGGUAACGGCCCACCAAGGCGACGAUCAGUAGGGGUUCUGAGAGGAAGGUCCCCACAUUGGAACUGAGACACGGUCCAAACUCCUACGGGAGGCAGCAGU
This 262-nucleotide ribosomal RNA is filed under the name uncultured Prevotella sp. RNAcentral describes it as "partial 16S ribosomal RNA". It matches the Rfam family "Bacterial small subunit ribosomal RNA", at positions 92 to 355 of the family's 1533-position model. The record is from RNAcentral. Lineage: Bacteria; Pseudomonadati; Bacteroidota; Bacteroidia; Bacteroidales; Prevotellaceae.